Molecule: ribosomal RNA, 253 nt
Filed under: uncultured bacterium
Lineage: Bacteria
Description: partial 16S ribosomal RNA
Rfam family: Bacterial small subunit ribosomal RNA
Source: RNAcentral
UACGUAGGGGGCAAGCGUUAUCCGGAUUUACUGGGUGUAAAGGGAGCGUAGACGGCAGCGCAAGUCUGAAGUGAAAUGCCGGGGCCCAACCCCGGAACUGCUUUGGAAACUGUGCAGCUUGAGUGCAGGAGAGGUAAGUGGAAUUCCUAGUGUAGCGGUGAAAUGCGUAGAUAUUAGGAGGAACACCAGUGGCGAAGGCGGCUUACUGGACUGUAACUGACGGUGAGGCGCGAAAGCGUGGGGAGCAAACAGG